UACGUAGGGAGCAAGCGUUGUCCGGAAUCAUUGGGCGUAAAGCGCGCGUAGGCGGCCCGAUAAGUCCGCUGUGAAAGUCAACGGCUCAACUGUUGGAUGCCGGUGGAUACUGUCGGGCUAGAGUACGGAAGAGGCAAGUGGAAUUCCUGGUGUAGCGGUGGAAUGCGCAGAUAUCAGGAGGAACACCUAUAGCGAAGGCAGCUUGCUGGGACGUUACUGACGCUAAGGCGCGAAAGCGUGGGGAGCGAACAGG
RNAcentral lists this ribosomal RNA (253 nucleotides) under uncultured bacterium. RNAcentral's name for it is "partial 16S ribosomal RNA". It matches the Rfam family "Bacterial small subunit ribosomal RNA", at positions 524 to 776 of the family's 1533-position model. RNAcentral also lists the same sequence under 1 other name. The record is from RNAcentral.